This 207-nucleotide ribosomal RNA is filed under the name uncultured bacterium. Its description in RNAcentral is "partial 16S ribosomal RNA". It matches the Rfam family "Bacterial small subunit ribosomal RNA", at positions 568 to 774 of the family's 1533-position model. The record is from RNAcentral.
CGCGUAGGCGGACAUUUAAGUCGGGGGUGAAAGCCCGGGGCUCAACCCCGGAAUUGCCUCCGAUACUGGGUGUCUCGAGACCGGAAGAGGUGAGUGGAACUGCGAGUGUAGAGGUGAAAUUCGUAGAUAUUCGCAAGAACACCAGUGGCGAAGGCGGCUCACUGGUCCGGAUCUGACGCUGAGGCGCGAAAGCGUGGGGAGCAAACA